AAGUAAAAAUUUUGUUUUUAUUAAUUGAGGAGAUUUUGAAAAUCUCUUCCGGCAAAAAUUUUU
This 63-nucleotide transfer RNA is filed under the name Succineidae gen. n. sp. z RM-2021. Its description in RNAcentral is "tRNA-Ser". The record is from RNAcentral. Lineage: Eukaryota; Metazoa; Mollusca; Gastropoda; Stylommatophora; Succineidae.